CCCAGACUCCUACGGGAGGCAGCAGUGAGGAAUAUUGGUCAAUGGGCGCGAGCCUGAACCAGCCAAGUCGCGUGAGGGAUGACGGCCCUACGGGUUGUAAACCUCUUUUGUCGGGGAGCAAAGAGAGUCACGUGUGACUCAUUGAGAGUACCCGAAGAAAAAGCAUCGGCUAACUCCGUGCCAGCAGCCGCGGUAAUACGGAGGAUGCGAGCGUUAUCCGGAUUUAUUGGGUUUAAAGGGUGCGCAGGCGGAGGUGCAAGUCAGCGGUAAAAUCGCGGGGCUCAACCUCGCUCCGCCGUUGAAACUGGCGUUCUUGAGUGGGCGAGAAGUAUGCGGAAUGCGUGGUGUAGCGGUGAAAUGCAUAGAUAUCACGCAGAACUCCGAUUGCGAAGGCAGCAUACCGGCGCCCAACUGACGCUGAAGCACGAAAGCGUGGGUAUCGAACAGGAUUAGAUACCCCCGUACC
Molecule: ribosomal RNA, 466 nt
Filed under: uncultured bacterium
Lineage: Bacteria
Description: bacterial SSU rRNA
Rfam family: Bacterial small subunit ribosomal RNA
Source: RNAcentral